This 1408-nucleotide ribosomal RNA is filed under the name Staphylococcus aureus. RNAcentral describes it as "partial 23S ribosomal RNA". It matches the Rfam family "Bacterial large subunit ribosomal RNA", at positions 174 to 1581 of the family's 2925-position model. The record is from RNAcentral. Lineage: Bacteria; Bacillati; Bacillota; Bacilli; Caryophanales; Staphylococcaceae.
AGAAGGCACACCCGGAGAACUGAAACAUCUUAGUACCCGGAGGAAGAGAAAGAAAAUUCGAUUCCCUUAGUAGCGGCGAGCGAAACGGGAAGAGCCCAAACCAACAAGCUUGCUUGUUGGGGUUGUAGGACACUCUAUACGGAGUUACAAAGGACGACAUUAGACGAAUCAUCUGGAAAGAUGAAUCAAAGAAGGUAAUAAUCCUGUAGUCGAAAAUGUUGUCUCUCUUGAGUGGAUCCUGAGUACGACGGAGCACGUGAAAUUCCGUCGGAAUCUGGGAGGACCAUCUCCUAAGGCUAAAUACUCUCUAGUGACCGAUAGUGAACCAGUACCGUGAGGGAAAGGUGAAAAGCACCCCGGAAGGGGAGUGAAAUAGAACCUGAAACCGUGUGCUUACAAGUAGUCAGAGCCCGUUAAUGGGUGAUGGCGUGCCUUUUGUAGAAUGAACCGGCGAGUUACGAUUUGAUGCAAGGUUAAGCAGUAAAUGUGGAGCCGUAGCGAAAGCGAGUCUGAAUAGGGCGUUUAGUAUUUGGUCGUAGACCCGAAACCAGGUGAUCUACCCUUGGUCAGGUUGAAGUUCAGGUAACACUGAAUGGAGGACCGAACCGACUUACGUUGAAAAGUGAGCGGAUGAACUGAGGGUAGCGGAGAAAUUCCAAUCGAACCUGGAGAUAGCUGGUUCUCUCCGAAAUAGCUUUAGGGCUAGCCUCAAGUGAUGAUUAUUGGAGGUAGAGCACUGUUUGGACGAGGGGCCCCUCUCGGGUUACCGAAUUCAGACAAACUCCGAAUGCCAAUUAAUUUAACUUGGGAGUCAGAACAUGGGUGAUAAGGUCCGUGUUCGAAAGGGAAACAGCCCAGACCACCAGCUAAGGUCCCAAAAUAUAUGUUAAGUGGAAAAGGAUGUGGCGUUGCCCAGACAACUAGGAUGUUGGCUUAGAAGCAGCCAUCAUUUAAAGAGUGCGUAAUAGCUCACUAGUCGAGUGACACUGCGCCGAAAAUGUACCGGGGCUAAACAUAUUACCGAAGCUGUGGAUUGUCCUUUGGACAAUGGUAGGAGAGCGUUCUAAGGGCGUUGAAGCAUGAUCGUAAGGACAUGUGGAGCGCUUAGAAGUGAGAAUGCCGGUGUGAGUAGCGAAAGACGGGUGAGAAUCCCGUCCACCGAUUGACUAAGGUUUCCAGAGGAAGGCUCGUCCGCUCUGGGUUAGUCGGGUCCUAAGCUGAGGCCGACAGGCGUAGGCGAUGGAUAACAGGUUGAUAUUCCUGUACCACCUAUAAUCGUUUUAAUCGAUGGGGGGACGCAGUAGGAUAGGCGAAGCGUGCGAUUGGAUUGCACGUCUAAGCAGUAAGGCUGAGUAUUAGGCAAAUCCGGUACUCGUUAAGGCUGAGCUGUGAUGGGGAGAAGACAUUG